AGUCGAACGACCUUCGGGUUAGUGGCGGACGGGUGAGUAACGCGUGGGAAUCUGCCCUCAGGAGGGGGAUAACGGUUGGAAACGGCCGCUAAUACCCCAUAUGCCGAGAGGUGAAAUGAAUUUCGCCUGAGGAUGAGCCCGCGUCUGAUUAGCUAGUUGGUGAGGUAAGAGCUCACCAAGGCAUCGAUCAGUAGCUGGUCUGAGAGGAUGAUCAGCCACACUGGGACUGAGACACGGCCCAGGCUCCUACGGGAGGCAGCAGUGGGGAAUUUUCCGCAAUGGGCGAAAGCCUGACGGAGCAACGCCGCGUGAGGGAUGAAGGCCUCUGGGCUGUAAGCCUCUUUUAUCAAGGAAGAAGAUCUGACGGUACUUGAUGAAUAAGCCACGGCUAAUUCCGUGCCAGCAGCCGCGGUAAUACGGGAGUGGCAAGCGUUAUCCGGAAUUAUUGGGCGUAAAGCGUCCGCAGGCGGCCCAACAAGUCUGCUGUUAAAAAGUGGAGCUUAACUCCAUCAUGGCAGUGGAAACUGGGGGCUCGAGUGUGGUAGGGGCAGAGGGAAUUCCCGGUGUAGCGGUGAAAUGCGUAGAUAUCGGGAAGAACACCAGUGGCGAAGGCGCUCUGCUGGGCCAUCACUGACGCUCAUGGACGAAAGCCAGGGGAGCGAAAGGGAUUAGAUACCCCUGUAGUCCUGGCCGUAAACGAUGAACACUAGGUGUCGGGGGAAUCGACCCCUCCGGUGUCGUAGCCAACGCGUUAAGUGUUCCGCCUGGGGAGUACGCACGCAAGUGUGAAACUCAAAGGAAUUGACGGGGGCCCGCACAAGCGGUGG
This 827-nucleotide ribosomal RNA is filed under the name uncultured marine bacterium. Its description in RNAcentral is "bacterial SSU rRNA". It matches the Rfam family "Bacterial small subunit ribosomal RNA", at positions 60 to 935 of the family's 1533-position model. The record is from RNAcentral.